GACGAACGCUGGCGGCGUGCUUAACACAUGCAAGUCGAACGGAAAGGCCCUGCUUUUGUGGGGUGCUCGAGUGGCGAACGGGUGAGUAACACGUGAGUAACCUGCCCUUGACUUUGGGAUAACUUCAGGAAACUGGGGCUAAUACCGGAUAGGAGCUCCUGCUGCAUGGUGGGGGUUGGAAAGUUUCGGCGGUUGGGGAUGGACUCGCGGCUUAUCAGCUUGUUGGUGGGGUAGUGGCUUACCAAGGCUUUGACGGGUAGCCGGCCUGAGAGGGUGACCGGCCACAUUGGGACUGAGAUACGGCCCAGACUCCUACGGGAGGCAGCAGUGGGGAAUAUUGCACAAUGGGCGGAAGCCUGAUGCAGCAACGCCGCAUGCGGGAUGACGGCCUUCGGGUUGUAAACCGCUUUCGCCUGUGACGAAGCGUGAGUGACGGUAAUGGGUAAAGAAGCACCGGCUAACUACG
RNAcentral lists this ribosomal RNA (466 nucleotides) under uncultured bacterium. RNAcentral describes it as "partial 16S ribosomal RNA". It matches the Rfam family "Bacterial small subunit ribosomal RNA", at positions 28 to 505 of the family's 1533-position model. The record is from RNAcentral.